UUUAGAACGUCGUGAGACAGUUCGGUCCCUAUCUGCCGUGGACGUUUGAGAUUUGAGAGGGGCUGACCUUAGUACGAGAGGACCGGGUUGGACGAACCUCUGGUGUUCCGGUUGUCACGCCAGUGGCAUUGCCGGGUAGCUAUGUUCGGAAAAGAUAACCGCUGAAAGCAUCUAAGCGGGAAACUUGCCUCAAGAUGAGAUCUCACUGGAGCCUUGAGCUCCCUAAAGGGCCGUCGAAGACUACGACGUUGAUAGGUUGGGUGUGUAAGCGCUGUGAGGCGUUGAGCUAACCAAUACUAAUUGCCCGUGAGGCUUGACCAUA
RNAcentral lists this ribosomal RNA (322 nucleotides) under Ectopseudomonas composti. RNAcentral describes it as "bacterial LSU rRNA". It matches the Rfam family "Bacterial large subunit ribosomal RNA", at positions 2610 to 2925 of the family's 2925-position model. The record is from RNAcentral. Lineage: Bacteria; Pseudomonadati; Pseudomonadota; Gammaproteobacteria; Pseudomonadales; Pseudomonadaceae.